RNAcentral lists this ribosomal RNA (492 nucleotides) under uncultured bacterium. RNAcentral describes it as "partial 16S ribosomal RNA". It matches the Rfam family "Bacterial small subunit ribosomal RNA", at positions 29 to 507 of the family's 1533-position model. The record is from RNAcentral.
AGUGGACGCUGGCGGUAGGCCUAACACAUGCAAGUCGAACGGCAGCACAGUAAGAGCUUGCUCUUACGGGUGGCGAGUGGCGGACGGGUGAGGAAUACAUCGGAAUCUACUUUUUCGUGGGGGAUAAUGUAGGGAAACUUACGCUAAUACCGCAUACGACCUACGGGUGAAAGCAGGGGAUCUUCGGACCUUGCGCGAUUGAAUGAGCCGAUGUCGGAUUAGCUAGUUGGCGGGGUAAAGGCCCACCAAGGCGACGAUCCGUAGCUGGUCUGAGAGGAUGAUCAGCCACACUGGAACUGAGACACGGUCCAGACUCCUACGGGAGGCGGCAGUGGGGAAUAUUGGACAAUGGGCGCAAGCCUGAUCCAGCCAUACCGCGUGGGUGAAGAAGGCCUUCGGGUUGUAUAGCCCUUUUGUUGGGAAAGAAAAGCAGCAGGUUAAUACCCCGCUGUUCUGACGGUACCCAAAGAAUAAGCACCGGCUAACUUCGUG